Molecule: ribosomal RNA, 468 nt
Filed under: uncultured bacterium
Lineage: Bacteria
Description: partial 16S ribosomal RNA
Rfam family: Bacterial small subunit ribosomal RNA
Source: RNAcentral
AACGAACGCUGGCGGCAUGCUUAACACAUGCCAGUCGAACGGAUAGGCCCUGCUUUUGUGGGGUGCUAGCGUGGCGAACGGGUGAGUAACAUGUGAGUAACCUGCCCUUGACUUUGGGAUAACUUCAGGCAACCGGUGAUAAUACCGGAUAGGAGCUCCUGAUGCAUGGUGGGGUUUGGAACGUUUAGGAGGGUAGGGAUGGACUCCCGGCUGAUGAGCUUGUUGGUGGGGUAGUGGCGUACCAAGGCUUUGACGGGUAGCCGGCAGGAGAGGGUGAGCGGGGACACUGGGACUGAGAUACGGCACAGACUGGUAAAGGAGGCAGCAGUGGAGAAUAUUGCACAAUGGGCGGAAGCAUGAUGAAGCGACGCCGCGAGCGUGAAGAGGGCCGUCGGGUUGGAAACGGCAUUCGGCUGAGACGAAGCUGGUGUGACGUUAAUAGGUAAAGAAGCACCGGCUAACUACGUG